RNAcentral lists this transfer RNA (84 nucleotides) under Escherichia coli. RNAcentral describes it as "tRNA sequence". It matches the Rfam family "tRNA". Rfam says of the family: Transfer RNA (tRNA) molecules are approximately 80 nucleotides in length. Their secondary structure includes four short double-helical elements and three loops (D, anti-codon, and T loops). The record is from RNAcentral. Lineage: Bacteria; Pseudomonadati; Pseudomonadota; Gammaproteobacteria; Enterobacterales; Enterobacteriaceae. RNAcentral also lists the same sequence under 11 other names.
GUGGGGUUCCCGAGCGGCCAAAGGGAGCAGACUGUAAAUCUGCCGUCAUCGACUUCGAAGGUUCGAAUCCUUCCCCCACCACCA